RNAcentral lists this long non-coding RNA (232 nucleotides) under Bos taurus (domestic cattle). RNAcentral describes it as "long non-coding RNA NONBTAT025323". The record is from RNAcentral. Lineage: Eukaryota; Metazoa; Chordata; Mammalia; Artiodactyla; Bovidae.
AUCCUCAGAUUCCUCUUUCAUUUAGAGAUGGUAACAUUAAACUUAAACCAAACUGUCUUUAGUAUACUUCCUUUAUCCUGAAAAGAUUUACUGAUUUACAUAAAACCUAAAUUAGAUGAUCAGAUUUGCUUUUACCACUUUGGUCUAUCAGGAUAGCAAGAAUAUUUUAGGCUUAUCAAGGUUUAAUAAAUUUCUAACAAAUUAUCAGAAUGGUAAUUUGUUUCCAGAUAAG